CAGCUGCGCCGGGUGAUCGCCGCCGGUGACGGUUCGCCGCCGCCGGGGGAGGAAAGUCCGAGCUCCAUAGGGCAAGGGUGCCGGGUAACGCCCGGUGGGGGUGACCCCAAGGAAAGUGCCACAGAGAGCAAACCACCACGCGUCGCGUGGGCCCAUCUUCGGAUGGACCUGCGCGGGGCGAGGAAAGGGUGAAAGGGUGCGGUAAGAGCGCACCGGGCGGCUGGUAACAGUCGUCGCACGGUAAACCCCACCCGGAGCAAGACCGAACAGGGAUUCGGCCGAAAGGCCGAGAGGCGGCCCGCCUUCGUUCCCGGGUAGCGUCGCUCGAGCCGCGUGGUAACGCGCGGCCUAGAUGAAUGAUCACCUCUGCGCAGGCGGGCAACCGCGGCGCGGACAGAACUCGGCUUACAGGCCAGUCUGCGAC
Molecule: RNase P RNA, 424 nt
Filed under: Myxococcales bacterium
Lineage: Bacteria; Pseudomonadati; Myxococcota; Myxococcia; Myxococcales
Description: RNase P RNA component class A
Rfam family: Bacterial RNase P class A
About the family: Ribonuclease P (RNase P) is a ubiquitous endoribonuclease, found in archaea, bacteria and eukarya as well as chloroplasts and mitochondria. Its best characterised activity is the generation of mature 5'-ends of tRNAs by cleaving the 5'-leader elements of precursor-tRNAs. Cellular RNase Ps are ribonucleoproteins.
Source: RNAcentral